UCCCUCAUAGCUCAGUCGGUAAAGAAUCUGCCUGCAAUGUAGGAGACCCGGGUUCGAUUCCUGGGUUGGGAA
RNAcentral lists this transfer RNA (72 nucleotides) under Capra hircus (goat). It matches the Rfam family "tRNA". Rfam says of the family: Transfer RNA (tRNA) molecules are approximately 80 nucleotides in length. The record is from Rfam by way of RNAcentral. RNAcentral also lists the same sequence under 1 other name. Lineage: Eukaryota; Metazoa; Chordata; Mammalia; Artiodactyla; Bovidae.